RNAcentral lists this long non-coding RNA (411 nucleotides) under Lytechinus variegatus (green sea urchin). RNAcentral's name for it is "uncharacterized LOC121409465". The record is from RNAcentral. Lineage: Eukaryota; Metazoa; Echinodermata; Echinoidea; Temnopleuroida; Toxopneustidae.
UUUGCACGAAAUGAAGAGGAGCGAAGCACUUAAUAUCAGUAUUUGCCGAGCUGUGAGAACAUCUAAAUUUUUGAAUGGGUGAAAACAUCUUACAAGUUAACAUGCACAGGCUGUCCUGAGAGACUAUUAAAGGAGGAUUGUAAGAGAGGAAUAUGCCAACAAGAACUGCAAUGAGGAGUCGUUGACAGGAGGAAACUUUUUAAAAGAGACCACACACUACCUCAUCAACAUGCUUGAAGAUGAUCUGAGCCUGAAGAGGGACAAAGGGCCUAGUGAUAAGACUACCUUUCUGCAAGUAUUGACAAUUCUGCUUUUGUAUGGUGAUAAUUUCAGGGAAUACGUGGUGAUGAGGCAUCAGUGUUGCAAUUAUCUGUUUGUGAGUGAUCAAAGAUGUUUCGCAAGCCAUAGCAA